This 539-nucleotide ribosomal RNA is filed under the name Betta picta (spotted betta). Its description in RNAcentral is "partial 16S ribosomal RNA". It matches the Rfam family "Bacterial large subunit ribosomal RNA", at positions 1856 to 2597 of the family's 2925-position model. The record is from RNAcentral. Lineage: Eukaryota; Metazoa; Chordata; Actinopteri; Anabantiformes; Osphronemidae.
CGCCUGCCCUGUGACAAUUGUUUAACGGCCGCGGUAUUUUGACCGUGCAAAGGUAGCGCAAUCACUUGUCUUUUAAAUGAAGACCUGUAUGAAUGGCAUAACGAGGGCUUAACUGUCUCCUUUUUCCAGUCAAUGAAAUUGAUCUUCCCGUGCAGAAGCGGGAAUAUAACCAUAAGACGAGAAGACCCUAUGGAGCUUUAGACACAAGACAGCUCUUGUUAAACACUUCAAAAUAAAGAAACAAACUAAAAGAACCCUGCCCUAAUGUCUUUGGUUGGGGCGACCACGGGGAAACAAACAACCCCCACGCGGACUGAGAAAACAGUUCUUACAGCCAAGAGUUACAACUCUAAUCAACAGAAACUCUGACCACAAGAUCCGGCAAUGCCGAUCAACGGACCGAGUUACCCUAGGGAUAACAGCGCAAUCCCCUUUUAGAGUCCAUAUCGACAAGGGGGUUUACGACCUCGAUGUUGGAUCAGGACAUCCUAAUGGUGCAGCAGCUAUUAAGGGUUCGUUUGUUCAACGAUUAAAGUCCU